RNAcentral lists this ribosomal RNA (306 nucleotides) under Triticum aestivum (bread wheat). RNAcentral describes it as "partial small subunit ribosomal RNA". The record is from RNAcentral. Lineage: Eukaryota; Viridiplantae; Streptophyta; Magnoliopsida; Poales; Poaceae.
GGGUACACGUUCACGGCAAGUGUACCUUGGAAAGAGGAGAAGUCGGAAGUUUCAAGAGUAAACUUAUAAACGAUGAUGGUGGUUCUAGACGUGGCUGCCGGCGAGGCGGGCCCGAGCGCGGGGCCCAAAACGUCGCCGGCGGCGCGGGAGGAUGAGUAGCCCCGUACCGCGAGCGGGUCUACCGGCCCACACCCAGCGCGCGAAGUCGCGGUAGGUAAAAGCCCCGAUCAACUAAGCCGUUCACUCAACAAUGUGUGAGGAAUCGCCUAAAGCUGAAGGUACUGGUAGCAGGACGACAAAAUUAGC